This 98-nucleotide ribosomal RNA is filed under the name Methanobacteriota archaeon. RNAcentral describes it as "Euryarchaeota archaeon partial 16S ribosomal RNA". It matches the Rfam family "Archaeal small subunit ribosomal RNA", at positions 1385 to 1478 of the family's 1478-position model. The record is from RNAcentral. Lineage: Archaea; Methanobacteriati; Methanobacteriota.
GCGCUUUAUGGCGUAUUCGAGCCUGCCUUCGACAAGGAGGGUUAAGUCGUAACAAGGUAUCUGUAGGGGAACCUGCAGAUGGAUCACCUCCUAAGAAA